RNAcentral lists this long non-coding RNA (923 nucleotides) under Nicotiana benthamiana. RNAcentral's name for it is "long non-coding RNA (NBEN_LNC030488)". The record is from RNAcentral. Lineage: Eukaryota; Viridiplantae; Streptophyta; Magnoliopsida; Solanales; Solanaceae.
CCAAUUACAAGGUAUACCAUGGAUAUACCGAAAAUAUACACUGAGUAUACACAAAAUGUACAAGUCUAUACAAAGCUAAAUCAUGUAGUUUCUCUUAUCUCAACACACCCCCUCAAGUUGGAGGGGCAAACCACCUGCAACUUGGUGAGCAGCGGAAGAAGCAAAGUGCUAGGCAGUGGCUUAGUGAGCAGGUCGGCCAGCUGACGAGAAGUAGGCACAUGAAACAGCUUGAGAAAACCAGAUUGUAGCAAGUCUCGAACAAAAUGGCAGUCCACCUCGAUAUGUUUGGUACGUUCAUGAAAAACGGGAUUGUUAGCAAUAUGAACAGCAGCCUGACUAUCACAAUAUACAUAAAUAGGAGAAGAAACAGAUACCCCAAGGUCAACCAACAAACGAGAAAGCCAAGUCAACUCAGGCCUGACUAUCACAAUAUACAGAAAUAGGAGAAGAAACAGAUACCCCAAGGUCAACCAACAAACGAGAAAUCCAAGUCAACUCAGCAACAACCUUGCUAAGGGCUCGAUAUUCUGCCUCAGCAGAGGAUAGAGAAACAACAGGCUGUUUCUUCGAUUUCCAACUGAUCAAACAGCCACCCAAAAGCACACAAAAACCAGUAACAGAUCGCCUAGUAUCAGGGGAAGCAGCCCAGUCACUAUCGGAAUACCCAGUAACAGAAAAAUCAGCAUGAGCAGAAUAAAACAAUCCCAAGGAGGGAGUGCCCUUAUGGUAUCUCAGAACAUGCAGGGCAGCAGUCAUAUGGGGAAGUCUGGGGCAUUUGAGGAAUUGACUCAGAUGCUAGACUGCAAAACAAAUGUCAGGCCUAGUAUGAGUCAGGAACAGCAUCUUGCCAACUAGACUCGUGUACUGGUCAGGAGAGGGCAAGAUGUCACCAGAAUCAGCAUGAAGUUUGACAUUGAUGUCCA